AAAAAAAAAAAAAAAAAGAGCAGGUCACGCAAUUUUCCCCUAUUACCUGGUGCAAAAUGACUCAUCACUUCCCAAAAGCUUCUUUUCAAACCACGAUUUUCCCAUUUAUUUUGGUCCAAUGCAGUCCCAUUCUUUAUGGCCUAUAGUCUCACUCCCAACUACCCCCCUGGGGGGUAAAAAAAAAAAAAAAAGGGAAUUCCCUCUAGG
This 207-nucleotide long non-coding RNA is filed under the name Homo sapiens (human). RNAcentral describes it as "HSALNT0408434". The record is from RNAcentral. Lineage: Eukaryota; Metazoa; Chordata; Mammalia; Primates; Hominidae.